Molecule: ribosomal RNA, 2916 nt
Filed under: Acinetobacter baumannii
Lineage: Bacteria; Pseudomonadati; Pseudomonadota; Gammaproteobacteria; Moraxellales; Moraxellaceae
Description: bacterial LSU rRNA
Rfam family: Bacterial large subunit ribosomal RNA
Source: RNAcentral
UGUAUAGUCAAGUAAUUAAGUGCAUGUGGUGGAUGCCUUGGCAGUCAGAGGCGAUGAAAGACGUGAUAGCCUGCGAAAAGCUCCGGGGAGGCGGCAAAUAUCCUUUGAUCCGGAGAUGUCUGAAUGGGGGAACCCACCUACUUUAAGGUAGGUAUUGCAACAUGAAUACAUAGUGUUGCAAGGCGAACGAGGGGAAGUGAAACAUCUCAGUACCCUUAGGAAAAGAAAUCAAUUGAGAUUCCCUCAGUAGCGGCGAGCGAACGGGGAUCAGCCCAUUAAGUUAUGUGUGUUUUAGUGGAACGCUCUGGGAAGUGCGAACGUAGAGGGUGAUAUUCCCGUACACGAAAGGGCACACAUAAUGAUGACGAGUAGGGCGAGGCACGUGAAACCUUGUCUGAAUAUGGGGGGACCAUCCUCCAAGGCUAAAUACUCCUGACUGACCGAUAGUGAACCAGUACCGUGAGGGAAAGGCGAAAAGAACCCCUGUGAGGGGAGUGAAAUAGAUCCUGAAACCGCAUGCAUACAAGCAGUGGGAGCACCUUCGUGGUGUGACUGCGUACCUUUUGUAUAAUGGGUCAGCGACUUAUAUUCAGUAGCGAGGUUAACCGUAUAGGGGAGCCGUAGAGAAAUCGAGUCUUAAUAGGGCGUUUAGUUGCUGGGUAUAGACCCGAAACCAGGCGAUCUAUCCAUGAGCAGGUUGAAGGUUGGGUAACACUAACUGGAGGACCGAACCCACUGUCGUUGAAAAGCCAGGGGAUGACUUGUGGAUAGGGGUGAAAGGCUAAUCAAGCCUGGUGAUAGCUGGUUCUCCCCGAAAGCUAUUUAGGUAGCGCCUCGGACGAAUACCAUAGGGGGUAGAGCACUGUUUCGGCUAGGGGGUCAUCCCGACUUACCAAACCGAUGCAAACUCCGAAUACCUAUGAGUACUAUCCGGGAGACAGACUGCGGGUGCUAACGUCCGUAGUCAAGAGGAAAACAAUCCAGACCGCCAGCUAAGGCCCCAAAAUCAUAGUUAAGUGGGAAACGAUGUGGGAAGGCAUAGACAGCUAGGAGGUUGGCUUAGAAGCAGCCACCCUUUAAAGAAAGCGUAAUAGCUCACUAGUCGAGUCGGCCUGCGCGGAAGAUGUAACGGGGCUAAAACUAUGUGCCGAAGCUGCGGAUGUAUACUUUGUAUACGUGGUAGGGGAGCGUUCUGUAAGCCGAUGAAGGUGUGUUGAGAAGCAUGCUGGAGGUAUCAGAAGUGCGAAUGCUGACGUGAGUAACGACAAAACGGGUGAAAAACCCGUUCGCCGAAAGACCAAGGGUUCCAGUCCAACGUUAAUCGGGGCUGGGUGAGUCGACCCCUAAGGCGAGGCCGAAAGGCGUAGUCGAUGGGAAAAUGGUUAAUAUUCCAUUACUUCUGUGUAAUGCGAUGAGAGGACGGAGAAGGCUAAAUCAGCCUGGCGUUGGUUGUCCAGGUGAAAGGAUGUAGGCAUGUAUCUUAGGCAAAUCCGGGGUACUCUAUGCUGAGAUCUGAUAGCAAGCUGUACUUGUACAGCGAAGUGGUUGAUGCCAUGCUUCCAGGAAAAGUCUCUAAGCUUCAGUUACACAGGAAUCGUACCCGAAACCGACACAGGUGGUCAGGUCGAGUAGACCAAGGCGCUUGAGAGAACUCUGCUGAAGGAACUAGGCAAAAUGGUACCGUAACUUCGGGAGAAGGUACGCUGUUGUUGGUGAUGGAACUCGCUUCCUGAGCUGACGACAGCCGCAGAAACCAGGCCGCUGCAACUGUUUAUUAAAAACAUAGCACUCUGCAAACACGAAAGUGGACGUAUAGGGUGUGAUGCCUGCCCGGUGCUGGAAGGUUAAUUGAUGGGGUUAGCGUAAGCGAAGCUCUUGAUCGAAGCCCCAGUAAACGGCGGCCGUAACUAUAACGGUCCUAAGGUAGCGAAAUUCCUUGUCGGGUAAGUUCCGACCUGCACGAAUGGCAUAAUGAUGGCGGCGCUGUCUCCAGCAGAGGCUCAGUGAAAUCGAAAUCGCUGUGAAGAUGCAGUGUACCCGCGGCUAGACGGAAAGACCCCGUGAACCUUUACUGCAGCUUGACACUGAACUUUGACCUUACUUGUGUAGGAUAGGUGGGAGGCUUUGAAGCUGGAAAGCUAAUUCCAGUGGAGCCGUCCUUGAAAUACCACCCUGGUAAUGUUGAGGUUCUAACUCUGUCCCGUGAUCCGGGACGAGGACCGUGUCUGGUGGGUAGUUUGACUGGGGCGGUCUCCUCCUAAAGAGUAACGGAGGAGUACGAAGGUGCGCUCAGCGUGGUCGGAAAUCACGCGUAGAGUAUAAAGGCAAAAGCGCGCUUAACUGCGAGACCCACAAGUCGAGCAGGUACGAAAGUAGGUCUUAGUGAUCCGGUGGUUCUGUAUGGAAGGGCCAUCGCUCAACGGAUAAAAGGUACUCUGGGGAUAACAGGCUGAUACCGCCCAAGAGUUCAUAUCGACGGCGGUGUUUGGCACCUCGAUGUCGGCUCAUCUCAUCCUGGGGCUGAAGCAGGUCCCAAGGGUAUGGCUGUUCGCCAUUUAAAGAGGUACGCGAGCUGGGUUUAGAACGUCGUGAGACAGUUCGGUCCCUAUCUACCGUGGGCGCUGGAAAUUUGAGAGGAUCUGCUCCUAGUACGAGAGGACCAGAGUGGACGAACCUCUGGUGUACCGGUUGUGACGCCAGUCGCAUCGCCGGGUAGCUAUGUUCGGAAGGGAUAACCGCUGAAAGCAUCUAAGCGGGAAGCCUACCUCAAGAUAAGAUUUCCCUAGGACUUUAUGUCCUCUAAAGAGCCGUUCGAGACUAGGACGUUGAUAGGUUGGAUGUGGAAGCAUAGUGAUAUGUGAAGCUGACCAAUACUAAUUGCUCGUGAGGCUUGACUAUACAACACCCAAGCAGUUG